AUUGAACGCUGGCGGCAUGCCUUACACAUGCAAGUCGAACGGCAGCACGGGUGCUUGCACCUGGUGGCGAGUGGCGAACGGGUGAGUAAUACAUCGGAACGUACCUUAUCGUGGGGGAUAACGCAGCGAAAGUUGCGCUAAUACCGCAUACGCCCUGAGGGGGAAAGCGGGGGACCGUAAGGCCUCGCGCGAUUAGAGCGGCCGAUGUCUGAUUAGCUUGUUGGUGAGGUAAAAGCUAACCAAGGCGAUGAUCAGUAGCUGGUCUGAGAGGACGAUCAGCCACACAGGGACUGAGACACGGCCCAGACGCCGACGGGAGGCAGCAGUGGGGAAUUUUGGACAAUGGGGGCAACCCUGAUCCAGCAAUGCCGCGUGAGUGAAGAAGGCCUUCGGGUCGUAAAGCUCUUUUGUCAGGGAAGAAACAGCAGCUCUAACACAGUCUGCGAAUGACGGUACCUGAAGAAUAAGCACCGGCUAACUACUUGCCAGCAGCCGCGGUAA
Molecule: ribosomal RNA, 501 nt
Filed under: uncultured bacterium
Lineage: Bacteria
Description: partial 16S ribosomal RNA
Rfam family: Bacterial small subunit ribosomal RNA
Source: RNAcentral